Molecule: long non-coding RNA, 206 nt
Filed under: Carica papaya (papaya)
Lineage: Eukaryota; Viridiplantae; Streptophyta; Magnoliopsida; Brassicales; Caricaceae
Description: long non-coding RNA (CPAP_LNC014633)
Source: RNAcentral
CCGUCCGUGCCUGAUUGAAUCUGGGUCGUCCAUGCGCGUGGAUCUGGGCCGUCCGUGCGCACGUUUGAUCUGGGCCGUCCGUGUGCGCGGGAACGGAUCUGGGUCGUCCGAUCGCGCGCACGCGGAUCGCCCACGUGGCUUAUUCCCUGGUCAGCGUUGCCUUGCCACGCGGCACGUUCUGGUUGGCCGGGGCUGCUGACCGGGCC